This 1462-nucleotide ribosomal RNA is filed under the name Campylobacter jejuni. RNAcentral's name for it is "partial 23S ribosomal RNA". It matches the Rfam family "Bacterial large subunit ribosomal RNA", at positions 1485 to 2925 of the family's 2925-position model. Lineage: Bacteria; Pseudomonadati; Campylobacterota; Epsilonproteobacteria; Campylobacterales; Campylobacteraceae. The record is from RNAcentral.
AGGGGGCUAGCGGAUGGAAGUGCUAGUCUAAGGUCGUAGGAGGUUAUACAGGCAAAUCCGUAUAACAAUACUCCGAGAACUGAAAGGCUUUUUGAAGUCUUCGGAUGGAUAGAAGAACCCCUGAUGCCGUCGAGCCAAGAAAAGUUUCUAAGUUUAGCUAAUGUUGCCCGUACCGUAAACCGACACAGGUGGGUGGGAUGAGUAUUCUAAGGCGCGUGGAAGAACUCUCUUUAAGGAACUCUGCAAAAUAGCACCGUAUCUUCGGUAUAAGGUGUGGUUAGCUUCGUACUAGGAUUUACUCCGAAAGCGAAGAAACUUACAACAAAGAGUCCCUCCCGACUGUUUACCAAAAACACAGCACUCUGCUAACUCGUAAGAGGAUGUAUAGGGUGUGACGCCUGCCCGGUGCUCGAAGGUUAAUUGAUGGGGUUAGCAUUAGCGAAGCUCUUGAUCGAAGCCCGAGUAAACGGCGGCCGUAACUAUAACGGUCCUAAGGUAGCGAAAUUCCUUGUCGGUUAAAUACCGACCUGCAUGAAUGGCGUAACGAGAUGGGAGCUGUCUCAAAGAGGGAUCCAGUGAAAUUGUAGUGGAGGUGAAAAUUCCUCCUACCCGCGGCAAGACGGAAAGACCCCGUGGACCUUUACUACAGCUUGACACUGCUACUUGGAUAAGAAUGUGCAGGAUAGGUGGGAGGCUUUGAGUAUAUGACGCCAGUUGUAUAUGAGCCAUUGUUGAGAUACCACUCUUUCUUAUUUGGGUAGCUAACCAGCUUGAGUUAUCCUCAAGUGGGACAAUGUCUGGUGGGUAGUUUGACUGGGGCGGUCGCCUCCCAAAUAAUAACGGAGGCUUACAAAGGUUGGCUCAGAACGGUUGGAAAUCGUUCGUAGAGUAUAAAGGUAUAAGCCAGCUUAACUGCAAGACAUACAAGUCAAGCAGAGACGAAAGUCGGUCUUAGUGAUCCGGUGGUUCUGUGUGGAAGGGCCAUCGCUCAAAGGAUAAAAGGUACCCCGGGGAUAACAGGCUGAUCUCCCCCAAGAGCUCACAUCGACGGGGAGGUUUGGCACCUCGAUGUCGGCUCAUCGCAUCCUGGGGCUGGAGCAGGUCCCAAGGGUAUGGCUGUUCGCCAUUUAAAGCGGUACGCGAGCUGGGUUCAGAACGUCGUGAGACAGUUCGGUCCCUAUCUGCCGUGGGCGUAAGAAGAUUGAAGAGAUUUGACCCUAGUACGAGAGGACCGGGUUGAACAAACCACUGGUGUAGCUGUUGUUCUGCCAAGAGCAUCGCAGCGUAGCUAAGUUUGGAAAGGAUAAACGCUGAAAGCAUCUAAGCGUGAAGCCAACUCUAAGAUGAAUCUUCUCUAAGCUCUCUAGAAGACUACUAGUUUGAUAGGCUGGGUGUGUAAUGGAUGAAAGUCCUUUAGCUGACCAGUACUAAUAGAGCGUUUGGCUUAUCUUUAAUAAAGCAU